This 6452-nucleotide long non-coding RNA is filed under the name Vitis vinifera (wine grape). Its description in RNAcentral is "long non-coding RNA (VVIN_LNC007646)". The record is from RNAcentral. Lineage: Eukaryota; Viridiplantae; Streptophyta; Magnoliopsida; Vitales; Vitaceae.
GAACUUUCAUUUCUGUAUUCCAUCUGCGCCAUAGAAUGCGAAGUGAAAGGGCUAUCCUGUGAUCUGAAUUUCACCAGCAAUACUUUCAAAUGCCACCACUCCAGCGCCGUAGAAUGUGGGUAUUACGUCUGCUUAAAGCCAAAAUUUGAGUAACAUUAUCAUUAAAGCCUCGUAAAGGAGGCUUGGAGUAAUGAAUUAGAUGUUAUUCAUGCAUGAUGAAAACUUUGAAGUCAAUUUUGAAGUGCCCCAUCAGUGACUAAUGUGUCUAUAUGAAUAAACAAUCAUGCAGGGAUCUGGAAAAUCUUGACAAUCUUGAUUAACAUUCCGAUUGUCUUAUAUGGUAAGGCCUCCGAGUUUUCCUUCUUUUUUUUUUGUCCUUAUUUCUCGAUAAUUUUCUUUUUUGUUUCAGUGAUAAUAAUAGUGAUAUUUUCACUUAUAUCUUUCUUAUUUUGAAUUCGAUAUCCUCUCUUACUCACAGCAUACACAUGGUAUCCCGAAAAUUUUAAAAUUUCAGGUGAGGCUUAGUAGCUCUCUCUUCAUAUUAAAUCAAUUACUUAUGCUUCCUUUUUUUCUUCAAAUUAUACAGAAUUGUUUUGCACUCAAUUCUACUUGCAAAAACUCAGAUUACUUGAUUGAUUCAAUCAUGCAGGACUUGAAGAAGCGCUCAAGUAUGGCGACUAUGCGUCCAUUGGUAAGUUUGAGGGGGAGUUCCGCUAUAUUUACCAACUUAAUUUUGCAUAGUCAUCAUUAUUUGUAGUUGUACUACAACUAUCCCUCCUCUUGUAUAAUAAGGAUGAUUUGAAGAUUAUAAUUAUAACUUAAUUUAAUUCAUAUUCUUUUCUGAAUUUAAUUUAUGUUAUUCUUUUCUUAUCAGGAUACUGGAUAUUUCAUAAGAUUGGUAAGACUUCUCGUUCCCAACUUUUAAUUCUUCGUGGAAUAAUAUGUAUCUAUAAUGAAGCCUUUUUAUAUGAACACCUUUGAAUUUUUUUAUCCAACUGGGCCCUCAUUUAUAAAAUCAAAAGCUUAUAAUAAUAAUAAUAAUUGUUAUUAUUAUUAUUAGUAGUAGUAGCUUAGGGGAUUUGGAAUGCAUAUACUCUGGUCUAAAUUCAGUUUCUAGUCCACUUGUAUACAAAAAAAGUCAAAACUGUGGGAUCGGAAAUGAGGCCCCCAAAUCCAAAGCCCCAAUUUUUUCUUUACUACCCUGCAUAUUACUUCCAUAGAGAGCCCCCAAGCAGCACAGUUCAAAACUCAAAUCCAAUCUCAAAAGGUUUCACAAUACCUUUAUUUUUAGAUUAAUGAGCAAGGCAACUGCCUAAUGGUUUACUUGGUGGAUUUAAUAUUAAUUGAAUGCAUAUGAUCAUAAACAUUUUCUAAUAUAUUUCAUAUUUUUUGUGUUGCUUUAUGCAUGUUCAGUCAUAAUAUACAAUGGAGUACGAAUUGUACUUGGGAUGUUCAUGUUUGCCUAUUUAAUCUACAAGUUUCGGCGGAGACACUUAUCAUUAGAUGAUAAUAUUGAAGAAUUCCUACAAAAUCACAAAAGUCUUCAACUCAUAAAGUACUCUUAUUAUGAUAUAAAAAAGAUGACCAACAGUUUCAAGGAUAAAUUAGGACAAGGAGGCUUUGGCUCUGUUUAUAAGGGAAAGCUCAAGAGUGGUCGAGUUGUUGCAGUAAAAGUACUGGUUAUGUCUAAAGCUGAUGGGCAAGAUUUUAUCAAUGAAGUGGCUACAAUUGGAAGGAUCCAUCAUAUUAAUGUGGUGAAACUUGUUGGAUUUUGCAUAGAAGGUUCAAAAUGGGCUCUUAUAUAUGACUUCAUGCCUAAUGGAUCUCUUGAUAAGUUUAUUUUUCCGAAACAUGAAAACAAUACCCCCUUAAGUUGGGAGAGGUUGUAUAAGAUUGCACUUGGAGUAGGGCAUGGGAUUGAAUACUUACAUCAAGGUUGUGAUAUGAAAAUUCUACAUUUUGAUAUCAAACCACACAAUAUUCUUCUCGAUGAAGACUUCACUCCAAAAGUUUCAGAUUUUGGCCUUGCAAAGUUGUAUUCAACAGAUGAAAGUAUUGUUUCUCUCACAAAAGCAAGAGGAACAAUGGGAUACAUUGCUCCAGAAUUGUUCUACAAAAACAUUGGAUGCAUAUCAAAUAAGGCCGAUGUUUAUAGUUUUGGAAUGUUGUUGAUGGAAAUGGUGGGUAAAAGGAAGAAUUUGAAUGCAUUAGCAGAUCACUCAAGUCAAAUAUACUUCCCAUUAUGGAUAUAUGAUAAAUUUGACCAAGGGGAGGACAUUGAAAUGGGAGAUGCCACAGAUAAUGAAAAAAUAUCUGUAAAAAAAAUGGUGAUAGUUGCAUUAUGGUGUAUACAGAUGAAGCCCACAGAUCGUCCUUCGAUGAGCAAAGCAUUGAAGAUGCUAGAAGGUGAGAUUGAACUCUUGCAAAUGCCUCCUAAGCCUUCUCUAUAUUAUGAUGUAUUGAAGGUAGAGGAUCAGGUGAGCAAUCAAGUAGGAGUACCGGUUUCAUCACUUAAUGCCAUGGAUACAAUCACCUUAACCGGAAGGUAGUGCCACAUUGUAUCUACUUGCAUGCUUUGUCCCUUGAUAAUGUUUUCUUGGCUUAGAUGUAAGGAUCGUUGCUUUUCAUGUAUCAAAUGUAUUUGUCCUAAAGCACUGGCUUGGUUCCUAGAAGGUCUCCAUACAUGAGUAGUCUUCUCCAAGGCCUUUGAAAUUCUUAAAUAAAGUUUUGUUUCCUUUCAAGCAAGUUUCGUUCAUUUUUUAAUAUUCUGAAGUAAAAAUAUUUAUGGUUGCAGAGUAGUGAUUAAAGACUAGUGACAAACCAUAUUACAAUCAUCUUGAUUCAUGGAGCUGAAAUUUUAUUUCAAUAUAUAGAAUUUAACAUUUUUUUCAGCAAGUGCUGUAUUAGAGCUAAAAAUUCGUAGGUAGCAGCUUCGCAAACUGUACUACCAAGUGUAGCAGCUUCGACUACCACUAGGUAGCAUGCUUCCUACAAACAAAGGAAAGUUCCAUAUGGGGGUUGGUUUGGCAUAUCCCUAUUUAAUCGUAAGUUAGCACUCUGGUGGCAACAAAAUGGAGAGAAAAGGAAAAGAAGACAGUGUCCUUGGCAAAACUUAGGUGGGCUUAAUCAAACACAAAAGAAAUUGAACUAUCCAAAAGUGCUGGUCUAAUCUAAAUGUGUAGGCCCAAGCGUACAAACACAAAAAUAAACUGCCCAAAAGUCUAGGUUCAAUCCAAAAAUAUAGGCCCCACCCAGCUGUACAGACACAAAUCUAGGUUUAAUCAUCCAAAUUUCUAUAAAAUUAUAAAUGGGUCAAUGAUUAUAUGUGGAUAACUAAGUUUAUUUAUCACCAAAUUUUUUUAUUUAUUUUUAAAUUUUUUAAUGUUUACUUAUUUUCAGUUGUUUUUUUUUACUUUUUUGGUUCACAUCCUCCCAAAAUAAACCUCUACAAAUAAAUUAAUUGCAACAUUCAUACUACUUUUUAUAUUUCAUGCAUAUAGAAUAAUGGUAAAAAAAAUAUAAAUUAAAAAAAAACCCCAGAAAAAACAAUAAAAAUAGAACAACAUGAAAAAGAAAUAAAAAAUAAAUUAAUUUACAUUAAAAAAAAAAAAACUAUUAGAAAAAGAUAGAAGAGGGGGAACAAAAAAAACUAAAAAGGUAUCUUUAAUACACAACUUCUUGAUAAAAUACUAAAAUUAUGUCUUCAUCACAACUUCAUAAUACUUUACUAAUAAUGUAAUGAAAUCAUGUCUUCGAGGCUUUGGGACGGGUUGGGUCCCAAGUAAUUAUCAUUCCCACUCUAAUAAAAACAUUUAAACAAGGUGAGGCGGGUUCCACCCCGUGUAAUUUCUUUUAAUUUUCAAUUUUUUUUAAACAAUUAAUUUUAACUUCUUCUUCUUUUUUUAUUAAAAAUAUAUAUUAUAAAUAAAUAAAAUAUUAUAGUUUUUUUAUAACUUGUGUUAUUGAAAACUAAUUUGUGUUAAAAAUUGGAACAUAAAAAAUUAAAUUAAAUUACUUUUUAAAAUUAGCUAUAUAUAAUCGGGGAAUAGAGGGAGAAGGUAAUGUCUCGAAUCUCAAACCUACUCUUAACCUAUUUAUUUUAAUUUCAAAUUCAUUUCAUUAGGAGCAAAGUAGAGCAGGUACCUUAAAAAAUUUGUUUCAUUAUCAUCCCUUUUCAAUACAUUACUUCAUAAUGAUAUACUAAAAUUAUGUCUUGAAAACAUGAUUUUAAGACAAAGAACUAUAUGACUCUUUUUUUUUUUUUUAAACUUAUCCGAUACAAAAUGACAUAAUUUUAUCAAUAAUUAAACUAUCAAGUUUUUACAAAUGAUUCUUUUAAUUUAUCAAAAAUCAAGGCAAACAGCCAGUUUUGAAAAGGAACUUUUUUUCAAGGGGCUUUGAAAAAAAAUAAAAACAUUUUAAAAAUAUUUAUUAAAAUAUAAUACUUUUGAAACUAUUCGCAAAUCAAUUGCAUUAUUAAGGAAUUGAAUUGAAUUGAAAGUUAUCUUUUGAAUAGAUAAUUUUAAUUAAAUUUUAAAAUUAUUUUAAAAAAUCAUAUUUAAUUUUUUUUCAAAAAUAAUUAUAGACCCACAUUUUUUAAGUGCGUCCCCACUCGAAAGGGCGAGACUCUCUUUUUUUAUUUGUGAAAAAUUGAUUUUUUUUAAAAAAAAUUAAAGUUGCCGCUUAUUUCAAUUUAUUUUUAAAAGGAAAAACAAAAUGAGAAAAAAAAAACUCUAUCAGACUCAUUUUUUGGAAAAAGACAUAUUUGCAAAAACUAAAUCUAAAUUUGAGGGUUACGAUACCUAUUUGGUUUCUAGUAAGCGAAUUGAAGGAAUUAUGAUAAUUAAUUAAUUAAUUAUGGCUUGCAUAUCUACAGUAAGUGAAUUGAGAUAAUUAUGGUAAGUAAUUAAUUAAUCAUAAAUACCAAGAUUAAGAAGACAAAUCAAUGUACAAAAAAAUAAUCAUAAAAGUAAAUUAUAAUAGUAUACAAGGUAAAUGACAAGAUAAUUAAUCAAAUUGAUUUAUUAAUCUAAUUAAAAAAAGAAUAUUUUAAAUUAAAAACAAUUUCAAAUGAAUGGUUUCAAUUUAUUUAUUUAUAAAAAUGUUUCAAUUCAUUUCCAAUAAAUGGUUUAAUUCAAUUUUAUUUGUGUUUAAUUUUUAAAAAAAGUAUCAAAAAAAUUUAUUACAAAAUUUUCAAUUUUGCAAUAAAAAGAUUUUUACUUUUACCAGAAAAAGAAUGAAAUUUUAAAACUUUAUUUGCAAAAGUAUUUCAAUUUGAUUUUAUUUACAAGGGAAUUAAUUUCUUUACAAACUUUAUUUACAAAAAUAUUUUCAACCCAACUUUAUCAAGAAAAAUGAUUUCUACAACUUCAAUUUGCAAAAGACUCUCAUCCUAAUCUCAUAAAAAAAAAUUAUUUAAAAUCUCUAUUUAUAAAAAAUACUUUUAAUCUCAUUCUAAUUCUAAUGAAGGAAACAUAAUUUAUUUAAAAAUCAUUUUUUGGGGACAAUUUUUAUUUAUAAAACAAUUUUUUUAACAAAUUUUAUUAAACAAAUAAAUUUCCAAACAAUAGUUGGUAAAAACAAUUUUUUGAAUUUUAUUAAAAAUAAUUUUCUGGAUUUUCCUAAAAACAUUUUUUUUAAUUUUUAUAAAAAAAAAACUUUCUUUUAUUAAAAAUAAUAUUUUCUAAACUAUUGUUUUUAUUAAAACGUAAUUGCUAACUAUUCCUUUUAUUAAAACAAAAUUUUUAAGUUAUCAACUAUUCAAUUCUGCAUACACUUAUAUACAUAAAAACAUUUACAUAAACUAAUAAAAAUUAAAUUAAAUAGAAAUAAGGAAAUAAAAUAUGUACCUAGACAAGCCUACAACAAGCUCAAUGCCCAAUUUACAACUUUCGUAAACCUCAUUUUCUUCUAUGAAAUUUGGUUCUCCACAUGUCACAAAUCCGUGCAGUCCAUGCAAAACAAAAAUGAGCCCAGAUGUAAAUAUCCAAAAAUAUGCAAAGCCCAAAAUAAUUAUUCAAACUCAAGUUCAAAUUUUAAAUUGGUCCAAUAAAUUUUACCAAUAAAAAUAGAUCUAAAUUAAUUAAUAUGCCCAACAAAAAUAUCUCUCAUAUCAAUAUCCUUAUCCAAUAAUCGCGCAAUUUAGUCAAGCCCGAAAUAUCAUAAAACAAAAUAAAUUUAAUUAAACCUAAAUUUAAUAUCACAUAUUCCAAACUUGAUAUGCGAAUCCAAAUCCAAAAUCCAAUUAUUACUAAAUCCAAAUAAAACAUACAUUAACAAACAAGACCCGACUCAAAAUACAAGGCUUAAAAUAUAUCCAAACUAUCUAAACUUAACCCAAAGCUUAGAAAUAAUAUCCCCAGUAAAUGCAAACCCAAAAAUAAUAUAAAUUCGCUCAAACAAACAAUCUUAAUAAUCAAUAAUAAAUUACUGUAAAAAUUAAAUAAAAAUAA